RNAcentral lists this long non-coding RNA (28484 nucleotides) under Capsicum annuum. Its description in RNAcentral is "long non-coding RNA (CANN_LNC013451)". Lineage: Eukaryota; Viridiplantae; Streptophyta; Magnoliopsida; Solanales; Solanaceae. The record is from RNAcentral.
AAUAAAAACAAAUGGUUAAAAUGAUACUACGAAAGAUCCACAUAUGAAAGUUCAAGAUUUGAGCAAUGUUGAUAUCCCUGAAGGAAUCAAUAAGCUUGAGACUCAAGAAAAUGAGGAACUAUCCAUAAAUUCAAUUGAUGUUGAAACUAAUUUGACUCGAUCUGAAAUAAUAGUGGAUUAUGUCUUUGCAUAUAAUGUUGCAAUGAAAAUCAUGCAAGACAGUGAGGAUCUUGAACCUCGAUCUGUCACAGAAUGUCGACAAAGAAAUGACUGGCCAAAAUGGCAAGAAGCAAUUCAAUCUGAAUUGAAUUCGCUCGCCAAACAUGAAGUUUUUGGACCUAUAGCUCAAACACCUAAUGGUGUUAAGCCCGUUGGCUAUAAAUGGGUCUUUGUGCAAAAAAGAAAUGAGAAAAAUGAAAUAAAAAGUAUAAACCACGCCUUGUUGCAUAAGGAUUUUCACAACGGCCUGGUGUCGAUUAUGAUGAGACAUAUUCACCAGUUAUGGACGCAACAACAAUGCAUUAUCUUAUUAGUUUCACUAUCUAUGAGAGACUUUAAAUGCAUUUGAUGGAUGUGGCAACAACCUAUCUAUAUGGAUCACUUGAUAAUGAGAUAUACAUGAAGAUUCCCGAAGGAUUUAAAAUGCCGAAAGUAUAUAGUUCAAAGCCUAGGAAAAUGUACUCCAUUAUAUUGCAAAGAUCAUUGUAUGGUCUGAAGCAAUCUGAACGCAUGUGGUAUAACCGUCUUAGUGAAUAUUUAUCUAAAGAAGCCUAUACAAAUGAUGAAAUUUGCCCAUGUGUUUUCAUAAAGAAAGCAACAUCGGAGUUUGUUAUACUUGUUGUCUAUGUCGAUGACAUAAACCUUAUUGGAACUCCAAUAGAGCUUCAAAAGUAAAUUGAUUACCUAAAGAAAGAAUUUGAGAUGAAAGAUAUCGGAAAGACAAAGUUAUGCCUUGGUUUGCAAAUUGAGCAUUUGACAAACAAUAUUUUUGUCCAUCAAUCUGCCUACACAGAAAAGGUGCUGAAAUGAUUCUAUAUAGAUGGAGCACAUCCAUUAAGUACUCCGAUGGUUGUUCGAUCACUUAAUGUGAAUAAGGAUCCAUUCCGACCUCAAGAAAAGAAUGAGGAACUCCUUGGUCCUGAAAUACCAUAUCUUAGUAUAAUUGGUGCACUAAUGUAUCUUGCAAAUACUACAAGGCCUGAUAUAUAGCCUUUUUAGUUAAUUUGUUAGCAAGGUAUAGUUCUGCUUCUACUAGGAGACAUUGGAAUGGGAUCAAACACAUAUUACAGUAUCUAAAAGGGACUAUCGAUAUGAGAUUAUUUUAUCCUAAAGAUUGUAGUUCUGAUCUUGUUGGUUAUGCUGAUGCUGGGUACUUAUUUGACCCGCAUAAAGCUCGGUCUCAAACAAGCUAUGUGUUUAUAUGUGGGGGUAUUGCCAUAUCUUGGAGAUCAACAAAGAAGUCUAUCGUAGCCACUUCAUCGAAUCACGCUGAGAUUAUAGCUAUUCACGAAGUAAGCUGAGAGUGUGUAUGGUUGAGGUCCAUAAUACAUCUCAUUCGAGAAAAAUGUGGCUUGAAAUGUGACAAAGUACCUAUGAUUUUAUAUGAAGAUAAUUCAGCAUGCAUAGCACAACUUAAAGGAGGAUUCAUAAAAGGAGAUAUAACGAAGCACAUUUCGCCAAAGCUUUUCUAUACACAUGAGCUCCAAAGGAAUGAUGAUAUUAAUGUGUCACAGAUUCAUUCAAGUAACAAUGUGGCUGAUCUAUUCACCAAUUCUCUUCCAACUGCAACUUUCAAGAAGAUGGUGCACAAGAUCAAAAUGCAAAGGUUCAAGGAUGUUCUCAUUAGGAGGAGUUAAUACGCGUUGUACUCUUUUUCCCUUACGAGGUUUUAUCGCACUAGUUUUCCUUGUAAGGUUUUUAAUGAGGCAACUUAUAUGUGUAUAUCUAUCAAUUAGACAUUCAAGGGGAAGUGUUAUAAAUGUACCAUAUAUAGUGAAUGUCUACUUUAUCAUAUAUAUGAAUAGCUACUUUACCAUAUAUUGUGUAUGCCUGUUUAUGGAAAAGUUACAAACCCAAAGUUAGUUUUCCCCCAUAAUGGGUUUUCCUUCAUUGUAAUUCAUACAAGAGAAGAAAUAAGAAUUAUUCUCUCUAUUCUCUCUACUCUUAUUCUUGUUCUUUAUUGUUUUAUAAUAAUUUGCAACAAGUAACACAUUUUGUUUGAACUAAUGCGCCACAAUUAAGAUAUGGAUAAUGCUAAUCACAAGGUAGUGUUCAAUUCAAAUUGUGAAGUGUAAUACGAGAAGUUGUAAAACCUUAAAGAGAUUUAGAUAAGAUUUUUUUUUAUAAAAAGGGGUAAAAGAACCUGCAAGAGAAGGUCUUUUUGUAGGAAUCAAUAACUAAAAUUACUAAAUGACGUAGUUUGAAUAUUAUAAAACCUUUUGUUUUGCUUGAAUGCAUUGUAAUAAGAAUAUUUUACUUUAAAGUUCAACCUGCAAAUUAAUAAGAUGUGGAUGUGAUAAUGAUUAAAAGAAUUAAAAUAUUUUAAAUAAUUUUUAAAAGGAACGAAUACGAAUUUUUUAUUUUGUAAAGCAAGACAAUUAUGAAACAUUAUUUAUAGAAAUCAGUUGUUAGUGAAUAGUUAAUUAGUUAUUAAUAAACACUAGGAUUUGUAUUCGCGCGAUGCGUGGUCUAUGUUUUAAAAAUUAAUUUUAGAUUAUCUUGAUUAUUUGAAAAUAUGAAAUUCAUAUACAUUUAUGUAAUUCAUAUACAAACAACUCUAAUUUAUAACACAAAAUAAAAAAAUAGAUAAGAAUACAUCCUAUGAGAUUAUAUAUAUUUGAUAAUCUCUCAAAUUUCUUAUAAAAAAGUAGCUUGUUCAUUUCAUCCUAUCUUCAAAAGUUAAGCACCUUAAUAAGACGAAAAAUCUACUAUAAACGUAGGAGAAAGAAUAUCAGAAUGAAUAGAUUAGUUUCGCUAGUACUAUGCAGAAGAAUUUCUUUAAAUAUUUGUUGCUUUUCUUGUAUAGAAGGCUUACUUGUUUAAUUCUUGUUGUUGCUCUUAAACUUCCACAUUUCACUCUUCCAUAAUAAUCUUAUUCUAUAUUACUAAGGCCAUCUUAUCUAACUUCCUGAAGAAAUUUUGUUCAAUUUCUUCAUGUUUGUCAUCUUUUGCUACUACAUCAAUCAAUAAUACUAUCCCCAUCAUUGAGUAUUUCAUGAAAUGAUUAAAGUAAAAAAUAUUUUCGCGAGAGAAAACCUUGUAUCUAAAGCAAAAAUAGAUACUUCUUCAAUUGAUGAUCUUGUGUUUAAAAGUAAAAUAUCACAAUGAGUUUCAACAUCCAGAAGAAGUUUCACAGUUGGAGGACUCCCUUUUGCAAUGUUAUAAUAUUAAUAACUUAACAUGCCCAUUAAGGACAGUUAAGUAUUUGUCCAAAUUAUUGGUGUUCAGUUGGUAACAACUCACUUAUGCCCAUUAAGGACAGUUAAGUAUUUGUCCAAAUUAUUGGUGUUCAGUUGGUAACAACUCACUUAUGUUAAAAAUAGAACUAACCAACAAAUUAUAACACUACAUUAUUAAGCAAUAUAAUAUAUUAUCAUAGAUUUAUAAAAAGUUUCAGUCGCUCAUCCCAUAAAUUAAAAUUUAUUUAAAAUGGAUAAAUAGCAUGCACUAUAUUAUCAUUGAAGUCUCUUUCACUAAUCUGAUUUACUUCCACUUGCAAGUACUUAGUACUGCAAAUGCUAGGUAUUGCAACUCAAAAAAUCUAAUCGACUUCAUUAAAACACUAUAUUUUAAAUAUGUAAAACUCACACCUAUAUAAAUUGUACAAUACAUCUAUAAAGUCAAAUUUAACUCAAUUUAACCAUCAAGAAAUUCAGAACAACCAAUAGUGUCUACAUAUAUUAUCGAGUUAAUGUUUGAUGCAGUUAAAAUUAAGGACGUGAUACUUAUAAUUUUAUAAAACGUAUGUACUUCUUUUAUCAAAAUGUAGCAAAGAGCACUUCAAUAUCCUUUUUUUUUUGUGUGUGAUAAUUAUAAUAAGUAUUGUCUUCAUAUGAUAAAGAAGCUAAAAAAUCAUAUUUUUACCAAUAGAUUCUUGAAUUGUUAUCUAUAACCUUAUGGUAUAUCUAAAAUCAUAUUGACAAUCUUUUGACCCUUCUGCGCAUUAAAGACCAUAUAGAUUGCAUCCCAUUCACCUUCUUUUACUUUAUUUUAUAGAUCAUGUCACAUUUAUCCUAACAAAUAAUAUCAAUGUUAGAAUAAGUGGCGACCCCAUGCGAUUUUCUUUUCUUUUUUGCUCUAGUGUAAUCAAAGACGUUGUCAUACUUCAUGAGCGGGUAUGGGUGAGUUUCAGAAGAGAAUCAAAUAGCCGUUCUAUGUGUAACCCAUGCAAAUAAAAUUUAGAUUAGAAAAGAUAAUCAAAUUUCGACUAAAAAAUAGAUAAAUAAAGCAAGAAAAUUUAGUGUGCUAUAAACAAAGAAAUCAAAAUAUCUCAACAAAACUGUAAGAUUUGAAUAUGUUUAUUUCUGUGGAUAAGCAGAUUGUUCACGCCGUAGCACACUAUCAUUGAUUUAUUCUAUGUUUUUUCUUUGAAUCUUUCAUGGUAAAAUUUUGUUUCAAAAUAAAAGCAAAGAAGAAGGAUAAAGGAGGCACAAUUAACAGAAAUAAGAGAAAUAAUAAAAUCUUAAAAUUAAUAGAAAUAAGAGAAACAGUUGAAUCAUAUAUCAUAUUUCAAACCAACAAAUUCAAUCACUUGAUGUAAUCUCUUAUCAAAUUUUUGGGAUUAUGUAGGAAUAGGAUAGUGGCUUAACUUUUAGAAUAAGUGUUGAUUAUGGAUGAUAAAGUUCAUUUUUGGGAUUUAACUUUUUUGGGAUAAAGUGGCUUUGCUUUUUUCCUUUGAAUGAAAACUUUUUAAUCUCUCCUUUUUCAGUGAUUGGUUAAUCGAGUGAAGUGUAGCAAGCGUGUUUGGAUAUCAUUGUUUCAUAAUAAAUAUAAAAGUUAAAUGUGAUGAGAGAGUUUAAGAUUUAUAAAUUAUCAAGUUAUUCGUAAUUAUAAAAAAAAAAAUUCAACUAAUUAUCUAUCUUUAAUGAAUUAAGUUGUAAUUUACUCUCAAAUAAUUAUUGAUGUUUAAUGCAAUUCAUUUUGGUAGCUUAAAAAUUAACAUACCAAAAUCGUUGCAAAAGUAUCACUUAGCUCUCGUGCAAUGCAUUUUUCAGGAAAAUAAAGUGCAAAGUUAUCUACAAUAUAUAAAAAAAAUGAGCCACAUCUAAAAUAAAUUUUGCUUUUGCUCUAAUUCUGGGAGUCGAAAGUUCUUCUUUUUCCUUCAUUGCAAUAUAUGAAAUCAUAAUACGAAAACGUUAGUGAAAGAAGAAUUCACAUAUAAUGUUGUCAACUCAUUCAAAAAGUUGAUCAAACGUUACCGAUAUAUGAGAAAAUUUUUAUAUGUUUAUUAAAGGUCUAAAGAUGUGUUUGGUAUAGGAAUUUCAAAUGCUACAUGUCCUUACUUUUUACUCUCUCAUUUCAUUUUUAUGUGGUAUCAUAUUCUUUUUAAUCCAUAUCGAAAUAAAUGACAUCUUACUAUAUUUAAAAUAAUUUUAAUUUAAAAUAUCUCUUUAAUCCCUAAUUGAAAUGAUUAACAACCCAAAAAUAUUGUUAUAUUGUCCUCUUCCCUAUCCAAACCUUCUCAUUCAUAAUUCCUAAAAUAACAACGAUAAUUUCAAAAAUCUUUUCAUUAAACGAUAAUAUCAUGCAAAUUCAUCUUCUUCUUUUAUCACUACUCCAUUUCAAUUAAUUUUACUUGAUAAAGCCUAACAAUUUCAUUUAUCAAAUUAAUGCUUACAAAAUAAACUGCACAAAGGCAUGUAAAUAUUGAUUUGAGUAAUGAAAUAUUUACAUGUAAACUGUACAAAAACAUAUAAAUGCAUAGUUUCUAAAAUCUACAUGGUUGAAACACUACUCUAAUACGUGUAUAUUGAGAAUUUUCUUCCUUGGUAUGAAAUUGAAGAUAAGAGAUUAAGGGUUAGAUUCAAAAUCUAUUAGAGAAAAAAUUAAAUUGUUAACUGAAAAACAUAAAGUCAUCGAAUGAAUUGCCGGGUAAAUUCAUCACAUUCGUAUGCAACAACAAAGUUUUAACCAUUAUUCUUAUUCAAAUAUAUUUGAUAAUCACGUUUGAUUCAAAUUUAAGAACAUAAACAUGGUUGGAAGUAAUUAUCUGGUUAAUAGUUAUAGAAAGGAAUAUAUAUAUAUAUAUAUAUAUAUAUAUAUAUAUAUAUAUAUAUAUUGUCAAAUCACUAAAUACGAUUUGGCUUAAUUAGUGGAAUAGUUCUAAUUUCAAAAUUCCUAUUUUUUUGGUUUUUUUAUUCUGUAAAACUUAAUUAACAAUUAAAGUGACUGUAAAUUUGAAUUUGAAAAAAAUCUGUAAAAGAUAAAAUAAAUACUAACUAAUUCUUAACUAAUUAACUAACUUUUCCUAUAAAACUACAUGUGUCAAUCUUUAAGGAUGCCACUUGGCGUAAUCUAGAGGCUUUGUCCUCUCCUUUUAAUAAUAUAUAGAUAAGAAAAAAGGCUCAAAUAUGUCAUUGAACUAUAAAAAAUGACUCAUUUAUGCCAUCAGUGAAAAGUUCAGCUUAUUCAUGUUAUCACCAUUAUAAAAUCAACCCACCCAUGCCAUUACUUUUUAAUGAUGAAUUUUUUAAAAAUAAAUUUUCCACGUAGUCUUUUAUUAUAAGUUCACACCAUUAAUUAAAAGAAAUCAAUAUUAAUUUCAAAAUAUUUGAAAUUAGUUAAUAUCGAAAUUAUUUAUUCCAACAUAUAUAUCAUAAUGAUGGGAGAAGUUAUCACAAUGAAAGCUAAGAGCUUGCUCGAAGACAGCCUUUACUUUUUAGUAGUAAUCUUUCCACAAGCUCGGGGUUCAACGAAACAGAAAGUUUCAGCAUGUUGAAAAUGGGGUUAGCGUGAAAGAGACUAGGCGCCCUAUCUCUGCUCGUUACGUUAGCAAGCAAGCCAUCGUAAGAGACGCAUACUUGGUGGGAUAAUUGGAAUAGCAGACUUCUUUUAAGCUUCUUUUCUUGAGCCGGGGGUCUAUCGGAAACAGCCUCUCUACUUCUUCAGAUGUAGUGGUAUGGACUGCGUACGUUCUACCCUUCCCAGACCCCACUAUGUGGGAAUAUACUGGGUUUGUUGUUGUUGUUGGUGCAAAUUUCUUUUAAGCCGUUAUUUGAAAAUGAUUUUUCAACAAUGUAUGUUCUACUAAUUUGUGAUGGGAGAAGUCAUCUCAUAUACAUGGCGGGAUAGUUGGGAUAACAGACUUCUUUGAAGCCGUAAUUUAGAAAUAAUUUUUCAAUAAUGUUUGCUCCCCUAAUUCGUGAUGGGAGAAUAUUGGAGAAGCUCUAUUGGUACGCCUCUUUCUUUUUUUUGUUUGCCCUAAUCAUUCAUUGGCUUAUUUUCUUGCAACUUCGGAGUAUAUAUUGGAGUAACUGGAAUUAAAUGUAGGAUAGGAUUUUUGAGAUUUUUGUUAAGCGUAACAUUUAAAAUGAUUUAGAAUCAACUAGAAAUAGCCAAAAGAUAUACAUUAAUUACUAUUUCUUCUGAUAAAAAAAUUAGUUGUUGUUGUAGGAAAAAAAUACUUUAAUGGGUGUGGGUCAAGUUAUGUUAUAUGAACUGGUUGUUUUUAAUGGAUCUAAGAUAUUUGAAAUUAAUAUUAAUUUAUUUUAAUUAAUGUCGCGGACCUCUAAUAAAAGGCCACAUCGAAAACAGUUUUUGAAAAAGCACCAUUAAAAAGUCAUGGCAUGGGUGGGCUGAUUUUAUAACGACGAUGACAUGAAUGAGCUGAACUUUUAACUGAUAGCAUAAAUGUGCCAUUUAUAGUUCAAUGACAUAUUUGAGUCUUUUUCCUUAUUUUAAUUAAUGACGUGAACCUUUAAUAGAAGAUCAUGUGGCAAAACUGUUUUUGAAAACCACCUUUAAAAAUUAAUGGCAUGGAUGAGCAGAUUUUAUAACGGCGAUGACAUGAAUGAGCCAAACUUUUAACUGAUGGUAUAAAUGAGCGACUUGUACUAUAUAUUUAUGUUACUGGAACUCUUUAAAAAGGUUGUCUAAUCCUCAAAAAAUAUACAAAUUUUGAAGGAUCUGACAUACAACUUUGAAUAGUAUGUUCACUUAGGUCCCUGAUAUAUCAGUAGGAAAUGGGAACUCCCCCGAACGAAGAAUCCUUACAGAUAUUUAGGGAACUCCCUCGAACGAUGAAUCUUUACAGAUUCCAGUUCGUAAAUUUAUUUUUAAGUGGCUAUUUCAAUCAACAUAUUAAGUAAGAGAACUAUAUUCGUGCCACCAAAAAUGAAAUGUGUGUCCUUGGAACUUCAAUCAUAUGUUGAGGGAACUUAUGCCUUUUUUGUUAAAUUGUUCUUUUGAAUAAAUAGAUCACAGAAAUCAAUUCAAGAACACGAGCUCCUCUAUUACUUCUCUCGAAUAUCAUUGAGUUGUUCCCAAAGAAUAUUGAGUUGUACAACACAAUAAGAAAUAACAAGCUAGAAGACAUUACAACAUAAUUUUAUCGAAUAAAACUCCCAUUAUUGAACAGAAACCGAUUGAAUGUCUUGUUGCUCAUCCUCUCCGUGUCUUCUUUUUUCCAAAAGCUGCUCCAGAAAUCCAAGAUACUUAGUAGCGAUCAUGCCAUCUUACUUUUUUUCUUGCUAUAACAAAGCAAUAUAAAUUAGAAAUCUAAAGUCUUCUAUUUACAAUCAAAUCAUGUCAAUUAACGUAUAGAAAUAUCAAGAAUAUUUAGCUCAUGAGUACAUCAUUCUAUAUUUUCUAAAAAGUUACUGAAAGACGAUUAUGUAGAGAAAGUAACAUAUAUCUUUUAAAACUCAAGAGGAAGCCUCCAAAUCAACACAAGUGAUGUAUAUGUUAGAGGAAUUGUUACAAAGAAAUCAAUGUUAGGAAGCGAAACAAGCUACACCAAAUUAUGCAAUAAACUAGAAAAUAAAAAUGCAAAGAGAACACCUUGAAAUGUGAGUUCAUAUUUAAUUUUCUUUUUCAUAAUUCUGUAAAAUUUACUCCACUAUAUCAAUAUCAAAAAUAAAUGCCAAUAAUACUUGUCCAUUUUGAAACCAAAUAAUAAUUUACCUAUUUUACCCUUAGCAUUAAAUACUAUUCAUUAUCCAAUGUGUUUUCCAAAGCAAUAGAUUUAUUAGAUUCAAAGGGUAAUAUGGUAAAACUAGCCCUAUCAUUUACUAUUUUUUAACUUAUGUGUCAAGUUAAUAGUGGACAACUAUUGAUAGACGGAGGUAGUAACAAUUAGACCAAAUGUGUUCACAUUUAGCAAGCUUAAACUAAAGUACCAAAAUAGCUCAAAAAUAUAUUUAAGGGGAUAUUUUGAACUACCCUCAAAUAUAAUAGAUAUUCUUGUUAAUUUCUCUUACAUUUUACGUAGAGUUUUAACCAAAUUUUAUCAAAGUUAAUUUUUUGAAUGAAUAUGGGACAAAGCUAAAUAACUUUUGUGUACGACUUGACUUGUGGAAAUGAGAAACAGAGUGUGACCUUGAUAAAUACUAUAUACUUACAUGAAUCUGAGAUGCGAACGUCCACGGGGUUGUUUCCGAUGUCUUCUUGUUCUUGUUGAAUUCGUGCAGCAGAUUCCCCAAGUUCGGGAAGACAACUUGUUAACUCAAUCAGUUGUAGUGUGUGGAUUUCUGCAAACUCAAUGGGUAUCUCUUUCAAAUUAUGGCAUUUGUUAAGCACAAGGCGCUCAAGGACAGGGAAAUUGUCAUUUGUGGCUUUCCAGUAAUUGAGAUGAUUACCUUCAAUUAUCAAAACCUUCAAUCGAGUAAAUCCCCUAACAUUUGGAUACCAUUCACUGCCAACACAAGCACUAAUCAUCAGCUUCAGCACCUCAAGGUUAGGCAAUUCAGCUAUGAUGUCCAAGUACGACCAACUUAAUAAAGUAAGUCUUAACUUCAGCUUCUUGAGCGUUGCUGGAAAAGCUUUUGCACUUGCUGGCAAAAGUCGACUAGAACAAAAUGUAAGAUUCAAUGUUUCAAGUUGCUGCAGAUGGACAAGAUUGUUGAGAAGCCCAUUAGAGCCCAUCCUCUUUCCUUCUCUGAUUCCUAAUUCUUUGACAUUCUGAAUCCCCAUAAUAACCUCCUUCGUGCAACAAUGUGAAGACAAGUAAGAAAUAGUUUUUAAGUUUGAAAAACCCAUGUGCCUUCCUUUGUCAACAGAUCCACUUGGGCAAUCUGGCAAAUUACAUCUUUGCAGUUUAAUAUGCCUUAAUUGCAUUAGUCCCCAAAUUUGCACUGGACAAUUAUUUUCUUUAGAUGAGUAAGGAUACCCUUGAAAAAUGAAUGUCUGCAGAUUCCAUAACCUAAAAAUUUCUGGAGGUAUGUCUAAAUUCUUACGGCAUUGCAAUGAUAGGUACCUCAACCAGAUGAGGCUUAGUAUCUGUAAAGGGAAAUAAUCAAUCUCCAUGUGUCUCAACUCCAAGACUUUGAGUAAUUUGAAAUGAAUAAGCUCUGAUUUGAGAACACGAGGAAAACUUGAAUCCUCAAAUUGAAAAGAGAAAAUAGAAUGGGUUCGUUUCAAAAGAUUGUUGUUGUCAUGAUCUCUCAACUGAUGAUGUAUAGGGGUAAGAAGAACCUUAAAAAAACCAAAGUAACAAUCAUCAAUUUCAUCACCAAUCACGCGCAUAAAGGGCUGCUUUUCAUGCAUACUGUCAAGCACAAUGUCGUUCAUGAUAAAAACAUUUCCCCUUUGAAUUUCUCUCACACACAAGUCAUAUAUUAGAUCAUGAACCUUACAUGAUCUAAUUUUUGUUCCAUCUAGACUUUUCUUGCAAACGAGGACUAGACAUCUAUCGACAAGCUCUUGCAAACACUUCUCAGGCUCUCCUUCCAAAUCAUUUUCCAACUUUAGGAACCCCUUAGCCAUCCAUUAUCUCAUCAAAUUCUUCACUGGAAUCUCACUAUCUUCUGGAAAAAUCCCGAAAUGCAGAAGACAUGCUUUUAGAUCGCUAGUCAAGUGAUUGUAACUCAACCCAAGCACACGUGAACAUUGUUCAUCAAGAUCAUUUGUGAGAAAUGACUUGACAUCUUUAGCUACACUUUCCCAAUCUUCUAUUGCCCUUCUCGAUUUGAGAAGUCCAGCAACCACGACAAUAGUUAGUGGUAACCCGUGACAUUCAUCUGCGAUUUGCUUUCCAACAGUCUCGAACUCAUAUGGUAACGCUUCACUUGAAAAUGCUGUACUUUUGAAAAGACUCCAACUCUCAUCUUGAUCCAUGAAGCUCAUCCGCAAAGAAAGAUUCUCUGUAUCAGCAUAACAAGCUACUUCAUUGUUACGAGUAGUCAACAGUAUUCGACUCCCUGCAUUGUCUUCAGUUGGAAAGCAUCGUCUCACGCCAUCCCACACUUCACAACUCCAGAUAUCAUCCAAGACAAUUAAGUACCUCUUUUUCUUUAAACUUUUCUGUAGCAUGUCUGCUAGCUCUGCUUCACCUUUCAUCUCAACGGUGUCAUCCAUUUUGAUCGUCGAUCGCAGAAGGCCCAGCAAAAUUUCCUUUCUGUUGUGCUGUUGAGAUACGGUAGCCCAGGCAUGAACAUCAAAACGGCAUAGAAUUGAUUUUUGAUUGUAAACUUCUUUCGCUAAGGUUGUUUUACCUAUGCCUCCCAUCCCGACAAUCGGGAUGACUUUGGGUUCACCAGAGAAGUCUGUAGUCAGAUCAUUUAACAACCGUUCCCUUUGAUCAUCACGUCCAACCAUAUUGUUCUCAACAUUCAGGAUAUUUCUUGAUGAGCUUGGAAAGUCUUGAACCGUUGAUUCCUUUGAUGCAUGUUUGCCUUUAUCUUUAAUAUUUGUCGACUCUUUGCAGAUACGAUCAAUGUCCUCAGCUACUUGUUGCAGGCUAUCAGAAAGCCUCUCUUGUGCCUUUUCUCUCAGAUUUUCAUCAUUUGCCAAUACAACUUCAGCUACACUUAGUUGAAUUGUUUGUUCUACAAUAUUUGCUACUUCUUUUACCUCUACUUCCAAAUCUGUCAUUUUCCCAGAAACAUUGUUUUUCUCAAAGUUCUUGACAGCUACUUCCAGGGAGCUAAUCUUUUCAUGAAGAGCAGAAAAUUCUUCUCCGUGAUCACAGGUUAGAGAUUGCAUUGGUGAAUUAGAUUUCAAGAGCAAUUCUACUGUUCUCAUAAGAGAAGCCACACUUGCAUGAGCCAUAUCUACUAUAUUCACGUUUUCCUUUCCGAUUAAGACCUGAAAGCUGCAAGAUGCAAGAGGUCAAUGGUAUUAUAGGUAACGUGAUACACAGAUCGGCAAAAAAGGCAGGCAUAAACUAAAUCAGAUCAGGCGAUUUAUUAGUCUGUUUCAUGUUCAGGUCAAAUAUGUUACUACAGAUGAUUUUGCACUCUGAUAGUACAAUCCAUUAAUCUCUAACUCUUUGAAUUUGGCUAAAUAUUAGGGAAAUAAUAAUUAACACUGCCUAGAACAUAUAACUACCGGUUAUACAUAAUGUCACGACCCGACCCGAACCGAGGCCCUGGCCGUGACGGACAUCCCGAACCAUGAAGACCCGACAGUCCUUCUAACUUGUAAUCACAUACACCAUUCAUAUACAAAAAAGGAAGUGCGGAAAAAACAAAAUGAAAUGGAAUCAUGGCCAUAAAUCUGAAAUUUGUUCAACAAUACGAACAUAGGUCUUUCAAUAUAAAAGCAACAUCUUUUUCCGUCUGCGAAAUCUCAACUGCACAAGACAUCAAAACUUGUCUAAAUCUGGGACAAGGCCCCUAGUAGACCAAAACCAUAAUAAAUGACAAAUGAAUGAAAGAAAAUAGGCCUUCUGAAAUAUAGAAGGCUCGCUAACUGCACUCAUCACUCCAGGCUGCUUAUCAGGACCCCUUGAUUAAGCCUCAGAACCUGGAAGGUAGGGGGUCAAUACAGAUGUACUAGUACGCUGAGGAAAUCCAAAAUAAUAAUUUUUAUUCAACAUAUAUGAGAGCAAUUUAAAACAGUUCAUAAAUAUAUCAUAUGUUAAGAAUCACAUGGGCAUAUUUAAAAGACUCUAUAAAAUCUUCUGAACUCUAUGACAUGCUCUUUUUUGUACUUCUGCGCUAGGUGGUAUACCCUACAAUUCUGUAAUUGAUAACGAAAUCAAUUCACAACACGGAAACAAGACACAAAACACAAGACAAACCUAGGAUCAAAAGGGGAACAAGUCUCGGCCAACAAUAAUACCACAAGAACGAGACGAUACAAGGUGUAUUUUACACCAAAAACAACCAACAACAAUAUGAACACGAUAUGAUAAGACAACAAAAAUAAGAUAACAACAAUACACGGCUUUACUAGAACAAGAACACAAACAUGAUUGCAAGAAGUACAAGGAUAGGAAGUGAGACAUCAACUCUCACAAGAACUAAGAACCUAAGUGUAUGUCACACACUAAGACCCUUAAUACUUGUAAUAGGCAACACCUUUUACAUUGACACAAGAGGGUGUGAACCACUCAAGCACCAAGGUUUCUAACAAUGUUUGGAAAUACUAGCGAUUCCACCCUAGCAUCACCCUUAUUUCGGAUUUGGUGGCUUUUCCAAGCCCUUAACUAAGGUGGUACACUCCUCACACUAGAGAGAUUUUGGUUCAAGUGUUACAACUUUCAAUAUCAAUAAACAACUAAAGAACUAAAGACCUAAAACUAGUCUAUUUAUAGACUUAUUACAAACAUAAGUGAAAUGUUUCAAAAGCCCUUAAUGAAGGGAAGACAAAAGGUGCCUAUCGAGUGUAGUGUAUGGCCGGUUCUUGGUGUGUGAUAUGGUGUUCCUUUGCACUUCACCUGCACACUUCAAGUCUCGGGUUCGACGCGCACUCUCAUAAGUUCAUCUCCGUGAUUAUUCUUGUAUCAGUAAUUCCACGGGCUAUAUGGAAUCUGCCCUUAACGCGGCAGCCAAGCCCCCAACCCAAGUUUGCCGCAAGAUUCGGAGUCUCUGAAUCUCUACUACUCCACAGGGCCGUCGCCAGCGUACAAAAGUAACAUACCCGUAUCGGAAAAAUAUGAUUUUAGGCUAUGAGUCGAUUGAUUCGUGCCCUCUUCGGGUAACCACCUAACCCUCUUUAAGCCCAUUUUUUAUUCUUUACAACAUGCAAACUCUGAAAUCAAGUUCUAAAGACUUUAAUUCUGCUAUGGCAUAUAUUUACAUGGUAUCGUCAUACCAUUGACUUGCAAGUCACAUUCUCUGAGCCAUUUAUAGCAACUUAUGUCUCUAUUCUCAAAUCAUGAAAUUUAGACCACCAUAUCAACAAUUCUUUUCAAGAAACUCAUUCUUUAAAACUCAUGUAAAACCAUGCAAGCAAUUCUCUUUAUCAACAAUUCAAUAAACAAAGGUGGUCAUGUCAAAAUUCUUAAUUUUAUGCAAUUCUUUCUCUUUAACACAAAACAUAGUAAUAUCAAGAAACACCCUCUCAUCAUCUCUAAAUCAUGUUCAAAUACUAUGACAUUGAGGAAACUACUUUCAAUCAUAAAACAUGCAUUGCAACUCUUUUCCGACAAAACCAUAAAUUUCAAUUCAAUACAAUAGAGGGAGUUCAUAAUUUGCGCUCUCAAACAAUCUUCAAUCUCAAUUUUCAUAUAUAUACAUGUAAAUCAAUUUAGGGGAAAAGACCACAAGGCUAAAGCAAUAGUAACACUGAAACAUUAGGAGUACACAAUUUAAAACAUAGAUUCCAAAACCCUUUUAAAAUUCAUGCUUAAUAAUCUUAAAAUCAUGCUCUAGUGUUUUCAAGCUUGUUUUUAGGAUAAACUCCGCGUACCUUACACUAUAAGAGUUGAAAGAUGGAACCUAGAUCUUGAUAGAUGGAACCCGGAUAUUGACCCUUUUCUUAGAGUCUUGAACUUAAGAUCUUGAUUCUUGAUUUUGAGGGAAAGGAUUUAGGGUUUUAAUUUGAGAGGAAAAAUUGAAUUAAGGAGUGUAUUCUGCCUUUGGGGUGUGAAUAUUAUGUUAUGGAAGGACCUUGGGUGAGGUAAAGGUCCAAAUUGCCCUUAAAAAUGAAAAAACUGAACCUGAAAAUUAGGUGUGUGCGACGGAGCGUGCGUUGCACGCUAAUCGCGCGCAGCUACUGCCUCUCUCACGAAAAUGGCUGCAAGUUUUCGCUCGGGUAUCGGAUUUUGACGAAAUUGGUAUCGUUGGAAAGCUACUUCGAAGACCUUUCAUUUUAUAUAUAGAAAGCCUUCUAAUUUGAUAUAUACAGGGAGUUAUGGUUGAUAGAAGUUGACCCAAGUUUAAACGUCCACUGAAACUUAAUCACUAGAAAUGUUUUCAACUCGUCUUAGAGUUAGGGGAUAUUUGUGACCUCAAUUCAUAUUCAAAGGUAUUCCCACACUAUAGGAUUGAUAACCACACAUAUAUUAACAAGGAAUUAUCUAGUUCAGGUCCUUACGCGUAGGAACGACGGUCUAGAUUCUAGCCCGAAAGUACGGAGUGUUACACAUAUAGACACGUAUGUGAAAAUGUCUUCAAACUAUCUCAUCUGACACUCAGACGGGCUCAGUCAAUCACAAAAACACGCGAAAGGAAAAGCAUAGGAAGGCUCUUCGCAAAAUAAAACUACCCUAUGCGACUUCAUUUUGUAUUCAUGCAUUGAUACAUAUGUAGGUGAUGAUAUAACAUACAGGUUUUCAUGUAUAUUUUUUUGUGUCUAAUGAUGCCUGUAACGUGUUAAAUGUGGCAUGUGAGAGUUACUGGAUAUUUUGUGCUAAUUCCCUUCUCUUUUUAUGUAACUUUACAAAUUCAACUCCAAGUACUAGCAGACCACGUAGUUUGUUUUGUGGUGUCUCAGAGUCUUUAUGUUAUUGUUCUGAUUCCAUUAUUUCGAGCCACAUCCCAACGUGAACUCUUAUUAAAUUCUCUUACGACUCUGGAGAUGUACUUAGUUUUAUAACCCUAAAGUCAUCCUAAACUAGUAGAAAUUUUCAAAAUCCCUCAUUUUCUUCGUCCCAAAAGUUCUUCGAAGCAAGAAUAUAUAGAGUUCAAGAUUCAAGGCUCAAACUCAAGCUUUUCCAAACUUUUUUCCGUCAAAGGGUAUGUUUGAACACUCCCUACUUACACAAGGUAUUUAUUUCAAGUUAUUCGUAUUUUCUAAAUGAUGGAUUAAGACUAGGAUUGAAGAUUAUUGAUUUUUCAUGAAAAUUUGUUAGUGAAUCAUCACUUUUACAAAUUAUUUUCUAAACUUAUGUGUUCGCUCAACUAAUAGUUAUUAGAUUAAAAAUAUGAGUAAUUAAGGGAAACUAACCUUUCAAUAGUUGGGAAGAAGCAACUAAUCACUGUAACAAUAUACUAUAAGAAAAGAACAUAAAAAACACAAAUAUGAGUACAUGAAGGAAAGGUGUAAAACACAAAAGAUAUGCUAGCAAGAAAUCAAGAGAAAAUGGAUACCUCUCUGAAUGACUAAAAUGGUAGUAUUAAUUUUUGUUGCCUUGUGAUAAAUUGGGAUGAGAACAAUUAUUGUUGCAUAUGGGGAAAGUGCUUUUAUCAAUUUAUCUGGAAGACCACAUCAAUGGUAGUUUUUAGAUAAGAAGUUACUAAAAGAUGAUUACUUACAUAUAUAUAUAUAUAUAUAUAUAUAUAUAUCUUUAUUAUACUUUAAGAAAAGUAACGCAUUUAGCACCUUUCUGGACUAUGACCAAAUUUGCUACGAUUUACUUUAAUUUUAUGUAGGUUUUAUUAUCUCUGAAUUAAAUUUUAGUGUAUUUUUGUCGUUUUUUUAGCUAAUGUGACACCUUUUGUCAACCUUUGUAGCUGACAUGGCACCAAUGACGUGGGCCCUAUUUUAUUUUUUGUAAUAAAGAUGUCACAUCAGCCCAAAAGGGUGAUAAAAAUAUGCUAAAAUAGACUUCAGGGGUAAUAGAACUCCUGUGAAGUUAGAGUAUAUUGCAGCAACUUUGGUCAUAGUUCGAGGGGUACUAGAUGCUUAUCACUUUUUAAAAUAAAGUUAAAGAUGAUUAUAUUGUGUUUCAAUUGUCAUCAUACUAUUUUUGUUGUCAUGUUCUUUUUCUGAAUUUUAUGUCCUGCUUUCUUUAUUAAUUUUCGUGUUUUCUUCACUAUCGUUUUUUUUUAUAACUAAUUUGAUUUACUGAUUUUGAGAGAGAGUUCUUCGAAAACAGUAUCUCUACAUUCAUAAGGUAGAAAUAAGAUCUGCUUACACGUGACUUCCUCAGAUCUUACUUAUGAAAUUAUGUAAAAAUAUACCUCAUUGAUAUUAUAAAAAAUAGACCUUGGCCAAUUUGUUGUGCCAAUCACAAUUUUUGUGUUAUAUUAGCUGCCUCCCACUAAUAUUUUGUGGACCAAAUAAUUAUUUUAAAAGAAGAAAGGAAAUCUUUUGACUUAUGACUCAGCCGGUUAGUGACACUGUUAGGCUUGGAUUAGUGACCUCCAAUCAUUCCGCUUUUUCCUGUUAGUAACUUAUUUUUUUGGACAAAGUUAAAAGAGAAAAAGAAAAAAAAAAAAGGAAAGACCACUAUGCGGGUUAUGGAACUAGUUGGAAAUGUGAUGGAAGCUAAAAGAAAGAAAUUUAAAACUAAUUUGAUUUCUUGCAAUCCUUCUCAGAUCCCACUCAUUGAUAUAUUAAAAACAAGCUCUUGGCCAAUUUGUUGUACCAAUCACAAUUUUUGUGUUUAUAUUAGCUGCCAGACACUAUACUUUGUGGACUAAUAAGUCAAUUAAGAAUACUCCCUCCGUUUAAAAAAGAAUGACCUCUUUUCUUUUUUGACAAUACUUUAAUGACAUGUUUAUGACCACGAGAUUAAAGGACAUUUUGAUACAUUUGGCACUACUUUAAUUUAAGGCAACAAGAUUCAAAAAUCUACUUUAUUUUUUUAAACUUUGUAUUAAGUCAAAGUAAGUCAUUCUUUUUUAAACACAAGGACAGGGAGUAAUAAGAUAGGGUGGUGGAUCAAAACAAAUCUCCAACUAAGAAGCCAAAUAGUUGUUUUAAAAAAAGAAAGGAAAUCUUUUUGACUCUUAAAGAAAAUAUUACUCAAUUAUCAAGGAUACUUUAAUUUGAAAAAAGUAUUAAUUUGCAAAAAUAUUCCCUCCUUAUUUGGAGUUUCAUACUAAAAUUAUUGUGGGUGUGAUAAAUACAUUUAAACUAUCACUCAUUAGUUUAAGAAACACACCUUAAAAUAAAUAAAAAUUAAUUAAAAAAUAAUUAUCUUCUUUUUUUAAAAGAAAUAUAUACAUAUAUAUAUAUGUAUAUAUAUAAUUACAGACAAUGGAAUGCAGUUAAGACUUAUCUGUAAUUAGUAAUUCUAAUGAAAAACAAUAAACAAAAAUUAAAGUAAUAGUAAUGGAUAUUUUAAGUGAUGACACUUGAAACAAUGAUGUGCUAGACAUUUGGGUGAAUGAGAGGGCUACAUCCUUUGUUAUUAAAAAUAUAUUUGUAUACGUACUCGUGCGAUGUGCGACUAAAUAACGUAGUAUUUUAAAUAAUUAUAGAUUGCAAUGACUUACUCUAGUGUAAAAAAUUAUUGGACAUUAAUGUUUAGUAUAAAAAAAUUUAAUUAUUUGUAUAUGAUUUAAAAAUUGUUAUUUAAUAUAGAAAUAAUGGGGGAACGACGGACGUAACUAAAAUGUGCUUUUGAAAUUAUUUGACAGAAAUAGUUAUUAAUUUUUUAUUUUAUUUUUUAGUAAUUUACGACUCUAAAAAUACCGUUAAUUAGAAUAAGAAAAAUAAAUUAUUUUUUAAAAGUAGUGGCAUAAAUGGAUGACAUUAUUUACAAUAAUAAUGACAUGAAUGUGCAUAUUUUUUAUAUAUGAAAUAAAUAUGUAAUAUUUCUAAGUUAAAUGGCAUGUUUUUUUUUUUUUAAUUAAUAUUAAAAAAAUUUCGAUUAAUUAUUUACAAAUUUUAGUAUUUUCUUAUUUGAUUGUAUUAUUAUAUAUUAUUUUAAUUUUAUGAUUAAGUAUAUUGGAAAAUAAAUCUAGAAAAAGGUUAAAUUUAUGUAAAGCUAAAAAGUAAUAUUAAAAUAUAAAGAAGUUGACGUGAGUGCUAGUGUAGUAUUAUUUUCUUAAAAUAAAUAAUAUAUUGCUUCUUCUUCACGUAAAUAACAUAAAUAUCAGGUAAAUAACAUAAAUAUCAACCCUUUAGAAAUAAUUGGACUUUCUCCCAUGUUUUUAAUUACUUUAAUCUCUCUCCAUAUUAAUAUACAUAAUAUAGCCGAUAUAUACAUAACAUUCUGUGUAUAUGUUGAGAUUUUUGUAAUAUGUUUAGGGAGUUAGGAUUUUUUGUAAUAUUGAAAACAUAAGUUGUGUGUUUGUGUAAUUUUUAGAUGUUUUAUAUGAGAAAAACUGAUCCAUAAGUAAAAUAAAGCCCAUCCCAUAUAAUAAAAAUCUGUAUUAAAAAGUCCAGCCCAAAGGAUAAAAUAUAUUAAAAAAUGGGCAAAAUUUAGAAAUAGCAUACUUAGCCCCUUAAUUAUAAAUUUCAUAGCAACACUUUUAUAAUUGCAUUUUAUAGCAACUUUUGAUAUGUAUUUUUGCAAAGUGUUGCUAUAAAAAUACAAAUACAAUUGUUUUUACUGCAUUAAUUAACUGAUUUAAAUAUGGUAAUAAUUUCAUAAAUUAACAAUUAAUGAUUACAAUCCCAUUAAAAGCUCACUAAUCACCCUUUUUUGGUUAAUUCUAACAACCCUGUUCAAAUUAAAAAAAAAAAUUGUGUUAUCCACUCACUAUAUGCGUGAUUCUUCGAAAAAAAAAUCGAUUCAAAUUUCCAGUCGCUAAAUGCAUGAUUCUUCAAAAAAAAAAAAUCAAUUCAAAUUUUUGUUGAAACUUCAGAUUCGCUGUAAUUGAACAAUCAAAUUCAAUUGUAUUUGUUGUUAUUCAAAUUUUUUUUUGUGAAGUUUAACUAUCAACAUUAUGUUGUUCUCGUUAACACUUUGUAAUUCAAUUAUCUUGUUCGAAUUAGUGCAUAAGUGCGAUUUCAGGUAUUAGAUUAGUUUUUUUUAGUUGAGUAUAUUUUGUUUUUGCCGAUCUUUUUUUUUAAUUCCUCAAUUUGUGAUGCAUUGUAGAUUUAUUUACUGCUGUCGUAUAAUCAAUUAUGAGUAUAUUGAUAAUAGAAUUCGAUUUUAAGUCUGUUCAGUACUUUUUUGAAAGCCUAGCAGAAUGAUUGAUCGCAAUCAGCUUGAUUGUGGUUGUUCAAACUGAUGUAUUUGGUUGUGUUCGAUUUUGGUGUUUUUAAAUUAUAGUGUAUGUAAGCUUUAACAGAAUCUUCUGAACUCUUGUUAUUGCUAGAAACUAUUGCUUGAUUAUAUUUUACUUUAAACACUAUCAUAUGUAUGUUUUUAGUGUUGUCGUUGGUUCAUAUGUAUUGGUAGAACAAUAAAUCGAUUGAAAUCAUUUUGUUCUAGCUGAUAUAAUUCAUUUGGUUCGAACUGUUUGUAUUUGAUCGUAAAAAUUCUCAUAUGUAUUUUUGUGGCAGCAUUAUUGGUUCAUAUAUAUUGUUAGAAGAAUAAAAAAAAUAGAAUUUAGUUUGUUAGAUUUGAUAUAUUUGAGUAUGUUCAAAUUGAUGUAUUUUGUUGUGUUAUAAUCUGAUCUUUUUGAAUUUGAGUAUAUGUAAGCUUUAACUUAAUUUUUUUGAACCAUUGUUAUGGUUGGAAAAAGUUGUUGUGUUAACCGAAAAAUCUAUAUUCCUUAUUAGUGUAAAUGUAUUUUUGAGUUUAUUUGGUGGUUGUGUUAAUUUAUUUGCUAUUAUAAUAGAAAGGUGAGUGUUGUAACAAUUGACAUCUGACAAAUAUGUAUGUUUGUUUACUUUAUGUAAAAUCAAUUAGAAAUGAGAAGCAUACCAGUUCUUGUGAAGCACUCCGGUAGGUGGACGUAUGAAAAAAACUACGAAGAUUACGUCACUAAUGCUAUAAAGUUGAGCACAAUAGCAUCAUUCAAUGAUGUGCAUGAUAUUUUGACAUGUCACUUAAAUGUGGACUUAAAUAGAAAACGAAUUCUAGUAGAAUAUCAAAUCACUGGUAAUACAGGGCAAAUACAAAUACAUAAUGAUAUGGGUUUAAAGGUGUUUGUGUUGCAGAAAAAAGAUAUUCAAGACAUGCAUGUCUUCCUUCAUAUGUAAGCAUUUUGAAGAAAGUUGUAGGGAGCAACUUUGCAAGUACAUCUGUGUGUGUUGCUGAAAGAAGAGACAGAGCUGUGACAACUUGCAAACAAUAUUAAAUACAUAUAACGAAGGAGCUUUGGUGGUAUCUGAAGAUGCUGCAACAUUAGAUGUAUUUGAGAUGUAUACGGUUGAGGUGAUUAUCUUAUACCCAUAUCACAAGGAUAUUGAGGAAGUUCAGGUUUACUUGACCAAUAAAAUUUUAAAGUCAUUCAUCUGGACGGGAUAUGUUUGGGAAGAGGAGCAUCAACUCAUACAGUGAUUGUGGGGCUAAGGGUCACAAUAGGAGUUCUUGUAGGAAAUAUCGUAAAUAGACAUUUGUUCUUCCUUUAGAUUCUUAGUUAAGGCAUUCUUCUGCAUUUUUUAUUUGAAUGAACUCAAUUUUAUGUAUUAAGUCAUUUAUACCUCAUUUGAUAUAUGAAAAGUGUUAAAUCCGAAUGUUGUGUUUGUAUGCAUGUCAAAAAAAGAAUACUUAUUUGCAUUGUGAAAAAUACUAGUCAUAUGUAUUUUCAAUACUCUAUAUGUAUUUGUAACCCAUAUGUAUUUUCAAUACUCUGUCAGCAUACUCUAUUCAUAUGUAUUUUCAACUCAUAUGUACUUUUAUCACUGUAAAUGUAUUUUCACAUGGAUAUAUAUUUUCAACACAAUAUAUGUAUACAUGUCUAAAAUCACUAUAUAUGUAUUUGCAACUCGUAUGUAUUUUCAAAACUAUAUCUAUAUUUUUAACUAAUAUGUAUAUUUAAUAAUGUUUAUGUAUUUAUAAACAUAAUUAUUGUUAACAGUCAUAUUUAUGUUUAAAACUAAACAACUAAAAAAUGAUAUCUGAACUGUGUUAAAACUUAAUAGUGUAUUUAUUCAUAUUGCUAGAGUUUAACACCUAACAUAGGAUUUAGAUUUGAAAUGUAUUUUUAUCUAACUAUCUGAUCACUGCAUAUGUAUUUUAACACUAUGUAAGUAUUUUUAGGUUAUAUGUGUUUUUUAACUAUCAUAUGUAUUUGUUCAUCAAUAUGUAUUUUUAGUUGUAUAUGUAUUUUUUGGGUUAGUUCUCACUGCAACAUGUAAAAACUGAACAUAUAAAAUAAGUAAAAUCGAAUAAAUUUUUCACUUACUGUAACAAGCAGUUCAAUAUAAGUUUGCAAAAAUACAUAUUAAACUACAUCCAUAUACCCGUUUGUUACAAUAUCCAAUGUAAUAAAUUCACAAACCAUCAUACAUCUAGAACUUAUGUGGCACUAGUUAUUCUACUUUGCCUAACAGGCUUCGAUGGUGCUUCGAAAUCACUAUGAGCAUUCAUGUCUUGUUUUCGAAUACCAUAGUCCCACAGUAGUGCAGUAUAUCUUCUACAGAGUGUGUUGACAUGGACAUAUUUGGUGCCAAACGAGGAAGUUUUCUUGCAAUGAAUAUGCCGUCAUGCAACACCUAUAAAAAGUAAAACUACAAUGUCUUAAACUAUAACCAAAACACAAAGGUUAAAAAGAACACAGGUCACAUCAAUCCCUAACUACAUAUCAGCAUGACAUCAAUCUAUAAAUUCAUAUAUAUUAUGAACAGCAAAAAAAAAAAAAUACAAAAAUCAUCACUAAAAGCAAAAAACAUAUGUUAACAAAAUAUCAGCUCUCAUGAAUCCAUAAAUACAUAUCAUCCUGACAUAAAAAUACAUUUUACACCUACACCUUAUUAAACAAAACAAAAAGUACAUAUAACAUGUAUAUGCAUUUGAAUAUGAAAAAAAUACAUAUCAAAUAUACUUAAAAAUACGUUUAGCCACUAAAUCUUCAUUAAUAUCUCACAUAUGCUAAAAUACAUAUUAACGGCUAGAAUUUCCUAAAUACAUAUUAACGGCUUGAAAAAAUACAUAUUAAAUGCUUAUUAAACACAACAAAAAAAAUACAUAUAAAAAAAUAUUUACAAAGCCAAAAAUUACCUCAUCUUCAGUGUCUUCUUCGAAUUCAUCAGAGGAAGUAAUCUGAACAUCAACAUCCCCCUUCCUUACUUCUUCAAUUUCUUCGGCUUUCCUUUUCUUCUCAUACUUUUUUUUUUUUUGUUCAUUUACUGAAUCAAUUUUCUUCAUCCUUUUACCUUUUUUCAAAAUUUCAGUAAUCUUCAUCGCAUCGUUUCGAAACUUGGACCUAAUUUUCUUCAAACUCACAAAUUGUUUGGACUAUAAAGGAUUUGAAGCAACUUUAACUAUAUUUUAUUGAGUUAAACCAAGACUAAAUAAUGGCACAUAAUCAGAAACCAAAUUAGUAUUUCGUAUACCACUUUUUGAUAGUGAUUUUACUAUGUGUUCAGCCAUUAGAGAGUAGAAAUCGUACAAAUGAAUUUUCUAUGAAUUUGAAUAUAAAAAAAAAUUUGAAAACAUUAACAUGCAAUAACUGAGUUAAAUAGAUACCUGAAUUAUAGGAACAAAAUCGUUUCAGAUCGUGGUUGAAUUUGUGCAAAAGGAAAAAAUUGGAAGAAGAUUGGGACGCGAGAACAAGGAUAGCGGCGUGAAAAAAAGAUUUUAAAAAAAGAAAAUAUAUGUUGGAAAGCGUGAAAUAGGGAGAAUAUGCACAAUAACUUUUUCUCAAGGUAAAAGUAAUUGAGUUUUAUUAAAACUAAUACCAUUUAUGCUACAUGGAGUAAUUACACAAAAGUGUUGCUAUUUUUUGUAAUUUAACUCUUAAGUAUGCUACUCUAUGUAUUUUUCCCUUAAAAAAUUAUUAUAUCCAUAAAGAUUUUUCUAGAUUUGGAAAAGUAAUCUUGUCAGCUUAUUUUUGUCUGAAAUGAAAAGUUUCCUAUUCACCUUCAUCAUUAUUUCCAAACUCCAUUUUAGGAGAUAAUUUUUUUUAAAAAGUAUUACGAAUUCAAUUGGAAAAAAUAAUAAUAGGUGAAAGGUUUAAGAUUUUAUUUUUCAAACUUAGUUUCAUCGAAGUAUUCCGACUUGUUUAUUGUUGGUUCUUCGAAUCAAUCCAAGUUUUUUAUCGUCAUGUUUUUAUAAAUCUUUGAAAAUAAUCUCCAUAUAUGUUGGUUCGUAGCAGAUUUUGCGGUCUCCGUAAGGUUUGGUAAUAUCUCCUGUUAUUGUAAUUUUCUUUUUCUUUUUCUAGAUUUAGACAUACAAGUGAAAUGUAUGGUUUAUUAGUUGUUUAAUAUAUAUAUAUAUAUAUAAAACAGGGUGAAUAUGAGAAAUAUUUAGACAAUUAGUCAGUAUAAUAACCAUCAUCAUAUUCAUAAGGCCAAUAAUCGUUAUCAUCAGAGGCAAAAAAUCAUCUUCAUCAGAAUCUUUGUAAGAAUAAUCAUGAAUAGACCAUUGUUCCAUCAUAAUUUGAUCUAUAAUUUUAUCAAGGAUUUUUUCCUGUAAUUCUUUAUUUAAUUUUAUCACUUUAAAAGUAGUGAUUAAUGUGUUUUCACCUAAGAAAUAAGUAUAAUAACUCAUUAAGCUAUAAACAGAGUCUUUUUUAUUAUUUUAUUUUUAUAUCUUUUUAAUAGAGUAAUCUUUGUCAUUUUUAGAUUAUGAUUUUCAUUUAUAGCUGCGACUACUAAUAUUCUUAAUUUGUUGAUUUGAGAGUUAUUUAAAUAAUUUUUUAUACGAUACAUUCUUCUUGAAUAAUUUUUUAAAUUCUUUAUAUUAUUGUUAAGUCUUCUGAUAUUUAUUUUGGUUUCCCAAUACCAAUUGUGAUAUUUAUUUUCACGAUUAGUAUUUUGGACAAAUGGAGGAGCGAAGACGGAUGAUACGUUAUUAGGCUGAUCCCCUAGAAUAGAAGUGCUGAGGGGAGGGAUUUGGAGUGGAUUUCCGUGUCCCUCUAAAGCAUGGGAAUUGAUGGUGAUGGCCAAGUUAGCCAAAUCCCGAGUGUGAUUUACUUCUUCCUGAAACAUUUCUAACUUUCUUGCAAGUUCCGCAAUCAUCUCAUUCUAUUCCGCUAUCACACUGUCCCGAAUAGUCAGGAUGCUUUCCUCGUCAUUUCCUGUCAUUUUUGAAUGAUGGUCAGGGGAUGAUAUUUUGUGCACUUUCGAUCGGGUGAAGUGGGGAUGUUCUGCCAGCUUAUAUCAACAUGGAGUAAUUUCUAUUAUCUGUAAAGUAAAACAUCUCAAAGGCAGAUGUGUUAGUUUCCGUAUGUGAUAAGUAAUGCAAAAUAUUUGAUAGAAAAUAACCAUAUAGAAUUGUUUAAGUCCUUGACAAAUUCAUCCAUAGGAGCAUAGCGGAUAAACUUGCCUUUGAUCCAAACAAACACCACAAGCACACAAAACAUUAUAAUAAUGCGUAUCCUAACUGGGGUGAUCCUUUUUGAGCCAAAGGUUUAGGCCUAACGAUUUUUGAAGAAAGUAUAUGCUUCCCUAAAGUCAAUCCAUUAUCCCCCAACUUAUAUAGACACGAAACAAGCAUAAAUGCGUACAAACGAUAACAAAAGAGGGAUACAAUCUUUGGGGAAAAAGGGAAAUAACAUGAAAAAGGAUAAGUUCCCACGCAGGGGAAAUAGAAAAAAUAGCUACUGGAGGCUCCUUCGUCUGCCUUUGUCUUCUUAGCUAUGUCCACUUCUCAUAUUGGUGACAUCUGUCGGUGCUCAAAUUGUGCCUUAGAUGCAACCUCCCAAAUCGAUCAAUUUCUUGCUGCCUUUGCCUUCUUAGCUUUGUCCACUUCUCAUAUUGGUGACAUCCGUCGGCGCUCAAAUUGUGCCUUAGAUGAAACCUCCCAAAUCGAUCAAUUUCUUGCUUAACUUUCUUCAAUUCUUCUCACGAAAGUAAGCAAGUCAAGCUUUUUUCCCGACCCCCAAAGGAUAAUGGAUUAAAUUAGACAGGCAUACAUUUUCUUCAACACAUAAAUAUGGUUUGUCUAUAAUUGACUCAGGGUCAAUAGACGUACGGCAGGUAUUCUAAUGGGCCCAAUAACCCACUUGGGUACUGGGUCGUCGUAGGCUCAUGCCUAAAAUAGGGUUUUGGUUUCGUUCAAUCCUAGGUGUCUAGAGUGGGUUUGAACAUUGAUUCUCAAGCGGACAACUUGAGUUUGAAAAUACGAACAACCAUCAGAUGACUCACGUGCUAAUAAACUGUUUGUAUUUCUAACACAUUUUUGGAAUUAAUCAAUAGGGGCCGGGAUACCCACGAAACCCUAAAAUAGUUUAAAUAAUGCAGGAAUAUGCUAUGAGAUGCGAUAGUCAAACUUUACAGAAUCAAAACAUAUAAACAUAUAAAUAGUUAAUCAAAAGACGAAAUCAAACAUUUGAUUAGAACCUAGUUAAAAGUCCCGAGUGGAGUCGCCAUUUCUGUUUUUGCAGAGAAAUUUUUUAUUUUUUCAAGAGAAUCGCCACUUAAUUUUGAAAAGGAAUUAAGAAACCUUUAUAAAAGUUACUUCAAAUGAUUUAAAAUAGGAAAAUCGUUUUAAGUUAGAUAUUCUAGAUAAGCGGUUCCUAUUAAUAUUUUAGGAAGGUGUUAGGCACCUAAAACAUCCGCUAACUUGCGGAUAUCCGAACUGUUUGAAAACGUCUUUUGACUAACUUUAGAAAAUAGAUUGGUUUUUGAAAAGAAAGCGAUUUUAGAAAUAUUUUGGUGUUUAUGCAAAACCAGUUUUUAGCGACUUAGUUAGGGAUUUUAACUAGGUUCGCAAGAAAACACAUAAACCAAAUUAGCAAAAGUAAAAGGGAAAGGGUAGAAGCAUAAGGACUUGAGACAUUAGGCCCAAAUCGACAACCCUGUCCUAAUCUAGAUAUUGGGCUUUCAGCCCGUCUUCCACCUGUCCUAAUUCUAUGUUUUCGAUCCCUUAGCUCGAGCUUGCUCUACCUGUAUUAAGUUCAACCUUGGCUUCGAGGCCCAAAUGAAUAGAUAAGAAAAUAAAUAAAUAAAUAAAUACAUAAAUAAAGACGACAAUGAAGAAAUGGAUGAAACAACAAGCAAGAUAUUGAAUCUCUUAGCCGCUUCAAAAUGGGUUAUUAGCUCGUGCUUCUCUGUUCAUCUCAUCGCAUCCAAUAGGCCAUAAGAUCGAUGUUUGGGCUUUGUUUCAAAGCGGUUGGCAUAAAGAUACCUGGCCCUAAUGGCCCAUGAAGAAAAUGCGAGGGGGGCAGAUGAGUCUGUUUUGGACUCAAAGUGCACAGUGCAUGCAAAAGAAAUAAAUAAGGAUUAGAAAUGGAUAAGCACAAGUCUGUAUAAAAAAUAUGCACUUUGGCAAAAUAUAAGCAAAAAUAUUGUAAUAAAGUUUAGCAAAGAGAAACCACUGCAUCACAUAUAACCAUUUUCAGUUAAGCAACUAAGGGAACCCAAAUUUCAAAAGGCAAACAACUGAAGCAUAAUGAUGUCAACUUUAUUAAAAGGAUUUAGGAUAACCAAACUUGUCACUGGAUUUCCAAAUCAAAAGAAGAAACUUAUUCUAUUUGCUACUUCUUUUCCUUUUAUUAUUAUUAUUAUUAUUAUUAUUAUUAUUUGAAGUAUAUAUAUAGUACCUAGGCAUGCCGGACAGCUGCAGACAAGAACCUACACGCAGGUUUAUGGAGAGAAGGUAAUAAAACACGUACGCAUCAUUCGAUGAUUGAAAAUUGCCUUACAGAACUCUUAGAGCUCUAGGAAAAUGAACCCAAAAUUGAAUCAAAAAUACAGAAGCAUGAGGGAUAGCAACUUGAAUAGGUUGUUUCUGCUAGACCCUCGACUCAAAAAUAAAAUGAUUUAGACAUGAGACGGCAAGAUAUGAUAUGUUCAACACGUCCAAUAACAUCAUAAACCAAAUACCCUGAGUAAUGCAACAAAAGAAAUAACAUCCUACUAUAACUUAAGCUAUGCAACCUGCUAAAAAUACAUAAGAUUAAAGAUAGGAAAUUUACUCUAUUCUUAUUAAACAAAUGGCGACAUCUAGGUAAAUAAUGGAUGGCCAAAGAAGCAUGUGAAAUAAACAACAAUGAAUAAAUAACUAAACAAAGAGUUCAAGAUUUAAGCAAAAGUUUGUAAAACCGAGGAAAGCAAAACAUAAGCUAAAAUUAGGGAUCAAGCGAUUAUAACGGCAAUCAGCCUAGCGUAGCAAGACUCUAGAUGCAAAAGAUGAAAAUUUUAAGCGAAAAGCAAAGCCUUGAUGAGGUAUACAUUGAUUCAUGCCACGAACUCUCAGGUAAACCACCAAUCAGUUUAGUACAGUAUGUUCAACAGGGUUAUAUUAAAAUUAUGACUUGAACACUGCUUCAGGGAAAUGGCACAACAACAGUCAAAAUACAACCCCUAAAGCCAUCAUAGCCAAAUGCAGUAGAAAGAUCCCAGCCUCAUUCAUGACAAACACAUAACUACUUCUACGGGAAAAGAGAAAAGGGAUGAAGCCGAAAGUGAUGAGUUUAAAAGGAAAAAAUUAUGUUCACCUCCUCUAGGGUAGCAAAAUGAGGACCCGAGCUAUCAGUCAAAUUUGCUAC